CACGUAGGGGACGAGCGUUGUCCGGAAUUAUUGGGCGUAAAGAGCGUGUAGGCGGCCCGAUUAGUCCGCUGUGAAAGUCCAGGGCUCAACCCUGGAAUGCCGGUGGAUACUGUCGGGCUAGAGUCCGGAAGGGGCGAGUGGAAUUCCUGGUGUAGCGGUGGAAUGCGCAGAUAUCAGGAGGAACACCAAUAGCGAAGGCAGCUCGCUGGGACGGUACUGACGCUAAGGCGCGAAAGCGUGGGGAGCGAACAGG
Molecule: ribosomal RNA, 253 nt
Filed under: uncultured bacterium
Lineage: Bacteria
Description: partial 16S ribosomal RNA
Rfam family: Bacterial small subunit ribosomal RNA
Source: RNAcentral